This is a non-coding RNA of Nomia melanderi (Alkali bee), 4737 nucleotides long. The record is from RefSeq and is a predicted model, not a curated record. Lineage: Eukaryota; Metazoa; Arthropoda; Insecta; Hymenoptera; Halictidae.
UACGCUGUUCAAAUACAGGCGAGACGCGAACGUUACCUAGAUUCUUGAAAAGUUUCGGUGUCACUCGCGUAGUCGGUGAUAUGCGCGUUCGAUGAUCAAAGUUGCUCUACGCCGCGAUACCGCAUUAUUCGCGACGAGCCGCGUUUUCUUGGUUCUACUCGGCAGCCUAGCGGCUUCCACGCUAGCUGGUCACUGGUUUUUCGUAGUAGGAUGAGCAGUGAACGAAGGCCGAAGCAAGACUAAAGCUAUGCACGGUUAGCGGACGGCACGGAUGGUGAUCGAAGAAGGUCCCCGAGACAAGGCAAUAGCCGGACUGCCCAUCGUUCCAGCGGCGCGGCCAGGCGUGUGCGUGUCCGGGGGAUCUCUCGGAGGCUGGUUCAGUGAAUCCUCGACAGCCGUCCUCUCCAUUUUCGGCGCGUAGGACACCCGAGGCGAGAGGUUAGCUCGCCCAGCGUUCCCUUCGACCGCCGGCACCGUCGGUAGGACCUUCGGACCUUCCCAGCGCCGUCGACGCGAGUGAAACGCCGAAAACCGAGGGGUACCGUUGGCGGACCAUGCCACGUAGAUUUUGACAGUCCACGGUCCGACGUGUCGCUCGGCAACAGGAGCCGUUCACGAAUAACUGUCCUCCGCCAAGAAAGUGAUUCAAUGUCCAGGGUGGGCAGGAGGGAUGAUGGCAGGAUGCAGUGUUUGGGGUACAGUCCUGCUUGUCCUCGGCAUAUCAGUGUCUAUUUCGAACGCGAACGCGGUAGGAGAGCGUACCUUGACGAACGAUGAGCGGCGGCGAAUGUUCGAGGCGGAGAGCUUCAUGUAUUCCUGGACCGGGCCGAACGCUCUGGCGAGGUCCGCCCUCCUGGAACGGCAGGAGAGGGUGCAGUACAACUGCGAGGAGAUUCUCGGCGACGCGGACGCGGCGAACGAGAUCGCGGACCCGGAAUCUUUCAGGAAUAUCCUCGUCGACGAGCAGCACGAGCUGCUUUAUUGCUACGUGCCCAAGGUCGCCUGCACGAACUGGAAGCGCGUUCUGAUGAUCGCCACCGGAAAAUGGCCGGGCAACGAUCCCCUGGAAAUUCCAGCCGACCAGGCCCACUCGCAGGGGACUUUCCAAAGGCUGAGCAACUACACGCUGCCCGAGAUCGAACGAAUGUUAACGACUUACGAUAAGUUGAUAGUGGUCAGGCACCCGAUGGAAAGGUUGCUGUCGGCCUACAGGAACAAGCUCGAGGCGAAACACGAGAAGAGCUCGAUGUACUUUCAGUCGCGGUUCGGCAGGAAGAUCAUUAAGAGGUACAGGCAGAACGCCACCGAGCAUUCCCUGAAGAACGGCGACGACGUGACUUUCCCCGAGUUCGUCGAGUUCGUCACCGACGAUUCCUCCAACGAAACUCGAAACGAGCACUGGAAUCCGAUCUACGAGCUGUGUCAGCCGUGCUUAGUUAAUUAUAAUCUCGUUAGCAAGUACGAAAGUUUGGUGGAGGACGCGACGGAGGUUCUGGAACGCAUGGGCGUCGAGUCUGUCAAUUUCCCAGGGAAGCCGGCGAACAGCGAGCCAACCUCGAAGAAGCUGGAAAAAUACUACUCGACGCUGACGUACAAGCAACUCCGGAAGUUGGCCGAUCUGUACAAACUAGACUUAAAGCUGUUCGACUACUCGCUGGAAGAAGUGCUCGGAUUUUCCCUUGCAUGACUCUCCGACUUCCUCGAACUUAUCGAUAAUAAAAUACGCUUCGACUAGCUAAUGGACGCAAUGAUAAUUAAGACAAACACGGUGUACAUACACACGCGGCGCGCGCGCACACACGUAGCCUUAAGUAUCUAUGCGGCAGCGAUAUUUGUUUCGUGGUUACGCAACCGAACGUUACAGAUAAGCGAACGUCCGCGACUCGUACACGAACAUCCCCGUACUUAUAGAUAUCCAUUAUCUAGCUGAGUCAGUAGGAAAUCGUAGGAUGAUGCGAGCCGCGCGAUCCUGCUCGUCAGUCGGCCUUAUAUCGCGUCCCCGCGAUGUCUUCUCGAAACUCGAAACCGAAGCUUCGUGCAGCUUCGAAACUGGGGGUGAUCGAUGUCGCAGUUAUUCUCAGCCUGCAUUUUUCCCGGCCGGUUGUCGCGUUCCAUGGAAUAUUUCGACGAGCCGCGCGAUCCCCGGGGAAGGAGGCCGGAGCGAAUGCACCGAAAGGCGGCGCGUCAUCGAGUGUUUACCAGGUCCGCGGUGACCCUGAACCCGCGGCCGUCUCUUCGACAACGGGGAUCCGCGGAUCGUUCCGAAGCUUUUUCCAUCGAAGCCGUAACCGACGUUCACCGGCGCUUAAUAUAACCCGAGGCGGCGGAACCUGUCGGUUUCGCAUCAGCGAACGGUGGUGGGACCGUGGCCUACCAAUCCUGGAGCAGAGGUUACAAGGGAAGGUGCAACGCGGUGUCUACGAAACGAGCCCGGGUGGGGGCCGAGACACGGGGUUCCUGGAGGAAUCUCGGGAUCAUCGGUGGAUCCUGCGUUGAGUGAUCUAGUCGGAGAUCGGACGCAAAGUGGCGCGGUUUGCUCCCUUCGAGCUGACUUGCUGUGGUAGCUGACUCGAGAGUCUGUCGCCGUACGCUUCCACGACAGCGUCUCCAUUCGAAAUUGACGGGAAACGGAUCGGUUGGAUACACGGAGGGAUAGUCAACCGGCGAAGCAUCCCCGACGUUGUUCCUGCAGUACGGAUCUCGAAGCCUGAAAGAUGCCGCAGCCGGCCCACGAGACGAGGAACAUCCUCACCACGUACUUCAUCCUCAUCCUGCUGCUGAUCAGUCUCUGGUUACUGUACGCGGGAUUGUUUUAACCGCAGCGUACAUUCCUUGCGAUGGAGUGAAGAGGCACGGAAGCAGCACGCGAACGUCCGGACGUCUUCCGCCACUCAGGACACACCUUGCGCCCCCAUGUUUAACUCUGUCCGCGUUGAUUGCACACUUUUAUAUUAAACGCUCUGCGAAAUGAACGAGACUGGUGCACUGCAUUUCGUUCCCUCACGAUCCCGUGGAUCGGACGCGGCUUGGAGAAACCGAUUCUUGCGAGCAACUGGAAACGGUGGUACAAUGGCUUCGAAAUGGCUCAUAGAUCAAGUACUAACUUAAAAUCCUACCGACUAAAAGUUCCGUGUUCGUCUCCGGUAGAAUUCCGACUAGAAAGGUUACCAUUUUUCGAGGAUUCGUAUCUCCAGCACCUUCGAUUCACAGAACAAUUCCAAAACAGUCCGGAACGUCAGUGCUAGAACGGCGAACCGAAUUUCCAGCGAGAUCCUUGGCAGCAACGAGAAGUUGGAUCGAGCGGGCGCAGGAUUAAAGGAGCCGCGGGAUCUUUGAGAGUACACGAGUCACGCGAUCGGAACAUCUGUUGGAACGUUCUCGCGCAGAGGUGACGGGAGCGGCUGUCAAGCUGUCAUAAACAGAGCGAAAAAACGCAUGGAGCUGAUUUGAGGCUCGGCGUCGGGGGAGGAGGGAGGGAAGAGGUAUCCCUGGAGGAUGGGAAGCGUUACAGGGUCGAUCGCGCGCGGAACGCGUGGGCGGUCGUUCGAAAAUAGACGAAGCUUCCAGCUCUUUUGACCGGUGUACCGCCGUAACGUUCCCGCGAGGAUCUAAAUCGAUGUUUUCGACAGCACUCCCUAAAAUAGACGUUAUGAGGAUCGCCUCUGUCCGACCAUUGCCGUACCCAGUCGAAAAACCGGCACGUUCGUGUGCGGUCGUUGCGUAACGCUCCGCGGUGCCCAUCCUGGAUCGUGUUACCGAUUUAUUCGAUUCCAAAACGCUCCGAAUACCUCGCCGCUUAUAAAUAGACCGCGAUAAAGAGCUCUGUUCCUCUGUUUCCCGCGGAACGAUCGCGACGCAGCGGUCUCCGUUGGAAAUCGAGUUACGACCUCCGACAGCGUUGCCAACCAGCGACUUCCGGUCGCGACGGGAACGAGGCGACCGCUCUCCGUAUAGUCAGUACACCUUGUCCCCGGUGAUCCGCGGUUUCUGCUCCGCCGUUUGUCAAAGGCCUCGUUGACAGCAGGCCCGAACAUCAAAGCGGAAACGCGACGCGGUAAAUAUUUUUACGAGCGGCUCGGAUGUAAACGGCUACGCGGCGUUCCAGUAAUCGCUCGAAAUAGAUCUAAUUGCUCCAGAUUCUCGGCGGCCCUCGCCGUGCGCUGACCGCGUUACACAAUAGAUUGGCCGAACUCGCCCGCCGCUGGCCGGGUCGAUCCGAUUAUCGGUGCCGGGGAAAAUCGCGGACGCGUGUCGGGAGUUCGAGAAAAAUGGGAGGGGAAAGUCGGCGGUCGGUGGCGAACGGGUUUCUGUAUUGAUCCGCCAUCGAUUUAAUAAACGUUCCGUUGGCCGUUCCUGUGCUCGCGGCGGCUCGCUCGCGCCUGUUCGUCCUUGGCGGGUCCGAGCUUCCGGCGGGAAUAGGCGGCGCGACAGAACAGGCUGAUGAAAUAGAGGAUCUCCACCAGGCUGAGGAAGCUGCAGCCGAGGAACAGGCUGAAGAUCCCUCCUAUCGAGGCUGGAACGUGGGAAAGACGCUGAAGAUUCGUACACGCGUGUAGCAUUAUGGUUUUUAGAGGGUUCUCUACCUAGAAGAUAGACUUCGUCAGCUGCUGCCAAGGUUUCGGUCGUCGGGAACACUUGCGUCUGCAUGAAGACUCUUAAGAUGCUGUCGUUGUCCGUCAUAUUUUUACUGAAACACGAUUCAAGUCCGUUGGAACCCAAUUUGUCUCGACGUUUUGU